ACACUGUCCACCAACAGACACCCAUGAUGAGGGCUGUCAGUUGAUCUGACACUCCCAGUUACUACUGAUUGCUCAUCAUUGUUCUACUUCUACUUCAUAAGGCUUUCCAGCAUCAUGUGUUACCUGCAUCAUCACUGAAUAUUCUCAUGGCCUUCAAAACACAGCUGUGUAUUUAGAGUCUGCUUCUUCAAUGCAUUGCCAUCUCUGCCCCUCUGCCUGCCCUGGGUGCACAGGUGUUAAGCUUGGUACAGACUCUGACUUCGUGUCUAUGAUGUGUUAUCACAAAUAGUUAACCUUGCUCCUUUGGAAGACUGUGGCCAAGACUGCAAGCUUAAAAGAAAACAUUUUGAGAAAAUUAUUAUUAAAAGUCGUCAACAUGCACAAUUUGAGAUGCACCUUGGUAUAAAAGAAUGAUUUCAAAAUGUUGAGGAUAAGUAAAAUUUUGGCAAACCAUUCAAUAUCAGAAUCUAUGCCCCAACCACUAAUGCUGAAGAAGCUGAAGUUGAAGACUUCAAUGAAGUCUGUGGAGACCUACAGGACCUUCUAGAACUAACACCCAAAAAAGAUGUCAUUGUCAUUAUAAGAGACUGGAAUGCAAAAGUAGGAAGAGAUACCUGGAAUAACAGGCAUGUUUGGCCUUGGAGUACAAAAUGAAGCAGGGCAAAAGCUAAUAGAGUUCUGUCAAGAGAAUGCACUGGUCAUGGCAAACAUUGUCUUCCAGCAACACAAGAGAAGACUCUACACAUGGGCAUCACCAGAUGGUCAAUACUGAAAUCAGAUUGAUUAUAUUCUUUGCAGCUAAAGAUGGAGAAACUCUAUACAGUCAGCAAAAACAAGACCAGGAACUGACUGUGGCUCAGAUCAUGAACUCCUCAUUGUAAAAUUCAGACUUAUAUUGAAGAAAGUAGGGAAAACCACUAGACAAUUCAGGUAUGACCUAAAUAAAAUUGCUUAUGAUUAUACAGUGGAAGUGAAAAAUAGAUUCAAGGGAUCAGAUCUGAUAGACAAGAGUGCCUGAAGAACUAUGGAUGGAGGUUCAUGACAUCAUACAGGAGGCAGGGAUCAAGACCAUCCCCAAGAAAAAGAAAUGCAAAAAGGCAAAAUGGCUGUCUGAGGAGGCCUUACAAAUAGCUGAGAAAAGAAGAGAAGUGAAAGGCAAAGGAGAAAAGAAAAGAUAUACCCACUGAAAUCAGAGUUCCAAAGAAUAGCAAGGAGAGAUAAGAAAGCCUUCCUUAAUGAUCAAUGCAAAGAAAUAGAGGAAAACAACAGAAUGGGAAAGACUAGAGAUCUCUUCAAGAAAAUUAGAGAUACCAAGGGACCAUUUCAUGCAAAGAUGGGCUCAAUAAAGGACAGAAAUAGUAUGGACCUUACAGAAUCAGAAUAUAUUAAGAAGAGGUGGUGAGAAUACACAGAAGAACUAUACAAAAAAGAUCUUCAUGACCCAGAUAAUCACGAUGGAGUGAUCACUCGCCUAGAGCCAGACAUCCUGGAAUGAGAAGUCAACUGGGCCUUAGGAAGCAUCACUAUGAACAAAGCUAGAGGAGGGGAUGGAAUUCCAGUUGAGCUAUUUCAAAUCCUAAAAGAUGAUGCUGUGAAAGUGCUGCACUCAAUAUGGCAGAAAAUCUGGAAAAUUCAGCAGUGGCCACAGGACUGGAAAAGUUAUGUAUGGAUAUGAGAGUUGGACUAUAAAGAAAGCUGAGCACUGAAGAAUUGAUGUUUUUGAACUGUGGUGUUGGAGAAGACUCUUGAGAGUCCCUUGGACUGCAAGGAGAUCCAACCAGUCCAUCCUAAAGGAGAUCAGUCCUGGAUGUUCAUUGGAAGGACUGAUGCUGAAGCUGAAGCUCCAAUACUUUGGCCACCUGAUGCGAAGAACUGACUCAAUGAUUCUGGGAAAGAUUGAAGGCGGGAGGAGAAGGGGGCAACAGAGGAUGAAAUGGUUAGAUGGCGUCACCGACUCGAUGGACAUGAGUUUGAGCAAGCUCCAGGAGUUGGUGAUGGACAGGGAGGCCUGGCGUGCUGCAGUCCAUGGGGUCGCAAAGAGUCGGACACAACCGAACGACUGAACUGAAUGUGAAUAUAGGGCAAUGCAGAAAGCCUUUCCAAAGAGCGGCCUUAAUAGUUUUGAAUUCUACACGUAAUACUAAUGAAGACCUAUGGCUUUAUCUAACUGUGGACAAAAUAGUGUUUUGUACAGAAAUGAGAGUGGAUUCAAGGCGGAAACAGUGGCAGAGAUUAACAGGCUCUGUGGAGCAGUCUAACAUUAUUUCUCAGUAAUCAGUGCAUAACUUAUCUUGUUUAAUACUUGUCACAAAUUAUUGAUGUAUUGUAGUAAAUACAGAGUAAAAUAUCAAAUAUGCUGAUAACAGUAAUUUUUUUUCACCAUUGUCCUGAAUGGUAGGGCUCGGGGUAAGGAGUUUGGUGGUGACCAAAAAGAUGACAGAGGAUUUGAUGAGUG
Molecule: long non-coding RNA, 2455 nt
Organism: Bos taurus (domestic cattle)
Lineage: Eukaryota; Metazoa; Chordata; Mammalia; Artiodactyla; Bovidae
Source: Ensembl